UUUGUACUCCCUUCGUCCGGAAAUACUUGUCAUCAAAAUAAAUAAAAGGGGAUGUAUCCAGAUGUAGUUUAGUUUUAGAUACAUUCCUUUUUGUCCAUUUUGAUGACAAGUAUUUUCGAGCGGAGGGAGUAUUUU
Non-coding RNA from Triticum aestivum (bread wheat), 135 nucleotides. The record is from Rfam. Lineage: Eukaryota; Viridiplantae; Streptophyta; Magnoliopsida; Poales; Poaceae.